ACUUUUUCCGGUUUGGUAAGUCUCUAUUAGGUGGUGGUUAAAGGGGAAUAUUAGUGUGUGAUUUGCAAGCGGUAAUGGUGUUAAUUGCCCAUAUCUUUUUUGUAGGAUUCUCCCUUUCGUCCUGGGCGAUUAAAUGCGCCGUUCCUGACGUUUUUUUCCUGUCGCGCCGUGAACUUUCGGUUACUCGGAAGUCUUAGUUGAUACGGAGAUCUAUUACCCGCUACCUGCUUCCCGCUACCUGCUUCCCCGCUACCUGCUACCUGCUAUCUGCUACCUGCUACCUGCUAUCUACUACUGAUCCCUGUGAUUGUGAUUUGUGUUACUGGUUAUUAUUGUUUGUUUUUGUUUUGUUUAAAGUGGUUCUGCUUGAGGGCAUCUAUUUGAUUAUGGAGUAGCCGGUGCCCUGUGUGGAUUUUGCUCCUCCAUUGUGGAACUACAAAAAUUGAGCUGGGGUUCCACGGGUGCAGGAGCUUGAGGUGGUGGUGUCACUUCAUCAUUUGCUGUGGACACGUUUGUGUGUGCAGUGAGUGUGUCGGGGUGUGUGUGUGUGUGGAGGUGUAAGUGUGCUUUUGGCUAAAUUCAGCACUGGUGAUCACUCCCGUGGGUGACCUCAGCCCUUUACCAUUGGAGAGUGCUGCCGGCAGUAGGUGAUGAGGAUUCAAUGUGACUUUUAAAUGGUGAAACAAUUGUGAAAAUAAAUUUUGUACUUUCAUGCUUUA
This is a long non-coding RNA of Puntigrus tetrazona (Sumatra barb), 719 nucleotides long. RefSeq lists it as uncharacterized. The transcript has 3 exons. The record is from RefSeq and is a predicted model, not a curated record. NCBI's taxonomy places the organism in Eukaryota, Metazoa, Chordata, Actinopteri, Cypriniformes, Cyprinidae.